AAGUCGUAACAAGGUUUCCGUAGGUGAACCUGCGGAAGGAUCAUUAACACUUUUUAAAGCAUCCAAUAUCAACAAAUCACAACCAAACGGUCAACUAUCUCCUCCCUAUUUCGCACACCGGAGACGGUACGAGUAGGCUAACAUGUAAAUAACAAGCUCCAAGCUCAAGCAAUUGCGCAUGCGCAUGUUAUUUUCAAACACAAGAUAACCCCUUUUAAUUAUAUUAUUCAUUUAAUAUAAACGAACAACUCUUCGAAUUUGCCCUUCAUUUUCACAAUGAAGAACAAAAACGAACUAAACUAAAAUAUACAUUCGAUAUAUUUUUAUUUUACGAAAUAAUAUAUAUUUAUAAGAACAACUCUUAGCAAUGGAUAUCUUGGUUCUC
RNAcentral lists this unclassified non-coding RNA (385 nucleotides) under fungal sp. Its description in RNAcentral is "partial internal transcribed spacer region". The stretch from base 1 to 46 matches the Rfam family "Eukaryotic small subunit ribosomal RNA", at positions 1786 to 1831 of the family's 1831-position model. The record is from RNAcentral. Lineage: Eukaryota; Fungi.